GGCUUGCAGAGGGCCAGAGCGCCUGCUUCGAGGCAAAGCUUUGCAAUUUUUACAGAAAGCUGGAGACUAAAGGCUACGACCAGGGACCGGGAAGAAUCAAGCUCAUCAUCAGAAGGGAACAUCUACUGGAAGGCACCUUUAAUCAAGUAAUGUCCUACUCACGCAAAGAGCUCCAGAGAAACAAGCUCUUAAUCGCCUUCGUAGGAGAGGAGGGUUUGGAUUACAGCGGCCCAGUUCUUCUUCCUGUUGUCUCAGGAGCUGUUUAACCCCUACUACGGUCUGUUUGAGUACUCGGCCAACGACACGUAUACUGUACAGAUCAGCCCCAUGUCUGCAUUAGUACAGAACCAUCUGGAAUGAUCAUAGAGAGGGAACUGAAGUCGGGAGACUCCAAUACACAAGUGACGGAGAAGAACAGGAAGGAAUACACUGAGCGAAUGGCUAGAUGGAGGGUGGAGAGGGGGUCAUGCAUGUUUGAUGCUCGUGAGCUGUAGUUGGUCAUUGCAGGGACGGCUGAGAUCGAUCUGAAUGACUGGAGAUCCAACACAGAAUAUAGAGGAGGUCAGUGGAUGCUUGCGUUGUCUUUAACAAUUCUCGACAGUUGCUCUGUCAACAGUGGGUAAUAUUGUACAUUUUGUUCAUAAAGCUAUCCAUAGAUGUUUAAUUACUGGAGAGAAG
Carassius gibelio (silver crucian carp) is the source of this 678-nucleotide long non-coding RNA. RefSeq lists it as uncharacterized. Lineage: Eukaryota; Metazoa; Chordata; Actinopteri; Cypriniformes; Cyprinidae. The record is from RefSeq and is a predicted model, not a curated record. The transcript has 4 exons.